This 76-nucleotide transfer RNA is filed under the name Methylophilus sp. RNAcentral's name for it is "tRNA-Thr". It matches the Rfam family "tRNA". From Rfam's summary of the family: Transfer RNA (tRNA) molecules are approximately 80 nucleotides in length. Their secondary structure includes four short double-helical elements and three loops (D, anti-codon, and T loops). Lineage: Bacteria; Pseudomonadati; Pseudomonadota; Betaproteobacteria; Nitrosomonadales; Methylophilaceae. The record is from RNAcentral. RNAcentral also lists the same sequence under 9 other names.
GCCGGUGUAGCUCAGUUGGUAGAGCGGUUCAUUCGUAAUGAAAAGGUCGGGGGUUCGAUUCCCUUCUCCGGCACCA